This 326-nucleotide unclassified non-coding RNA is filed under the name Hevea brasiliensis (rubber tree). The record is from RNAcentral. Lineage: Eukaryota; Viridiplantae; Streptophyta; Magnoliopsida; Malpighiales; Euphorbiaceae.
AUGGAAUUGAAUGGACUCAAAUGUUAUGGAAUCAAAGGGAAUGGACUCAAAUAGAAUGGACUCAAAAGAAAUGGUCUUGAAUGGAACUUAUUCGAAUAUAAUGUAAUCGAAUGGAAUGUAAUAGUAUGGAAUGGAAUCGAAUGGAAUGGGAUCGAAUGGAUUGGAACGAAAUCGAAUGGAACGGAAUAGAAUAGAUUCGAAUGUAAUGGAUUGUUAUGUAAUUGAUUCGAAUGGAAUGGAAUCGAAUGGAUUGAUAUUAAUUGGAAUGGAAUGGAAGGGAAUGGAAUGGAAUGGAAUUGAAAUGAAUGGAAUGGAAUUGAAUGGAA